AGUCUUACCUGGAUGUGAAGAACCUUGAAGAACCCAUCACACAGUGAGUAAGCUACCGUCAGUUGUGUUGCAUUAAAAGCUCACUAGCGCCUCUCUGUGGUCUUUUUAAACACUGGCUGUUGAGGGCUCACUUAAACGACAUUACAAAACGGGGCAGAUGAUUUCACUAAUUACAAACACGUCGUUUUAAAUGUUUAGUUUAAAUACUCGUGUUGACAAAAGUGUGGCGCAAUGUCCGAACGCAAACACAAGUCACAUGGAAACUUCUCGAAGAACAGCACGUUACAUUUGUGUGAAGAAAAUUAUAAGGCAGAGACGAAGGGAUUUCAAGGACGCGCGGACUUGAAUUUAAUCGAAGAGGCUGAGAGUGGAGUGGAAGAGUGACACACAGAGGAGAGAAGUUCAUUAUUCUGCUGAAAAGGAAACCAAUGGCUUUCACUGUCACCAUGGCAACCGGCCUUUCUUUUGCCGUCAGACCAAUGAUAAGACUCGUGCUGUCCUCUGUCUCACCUCUUGGCUCAGCCCAAGGCAAGGUGACCAAAUUCAUCUCCGUCCUCUCCAUCCAUUAUCUUGUCAACACAGGAGCUUCCCGCCUCAGUUUGCUGCUCUCCCUGAAGACUGGCUCUAAUGAAAUAACCAAAUAAUCACUGCACUCAUCUCAUCAGGCUGAAGGUGUGUGUGAGUGACAGUUUUUCUAAUGGCCCACACCUAUCCACUGGCUCACAUGUAGAGAUGAUCAUCUGAACUGGAUCCCAUCGGUGUGGGUGGAGCAAGGGGUCCAGGAGGAAGGCAGGUUUGGGCCUGAAAGACGUGCCAGACCUGCUGCCAAAGCAUCAGCCUCCACCUCACCCUGCAGACAUGGCUGAACACACACGCAUGCAUGCACUCAAACAUGCACACGGCAUCAAUGCGCACGUUUUAUAACCGGAUUUUGUUCCAGUCGGACGUUAUUUCUUCAUUUCCCCGUCUCUUCACCGCUCACCUUAGCUCAGAGACCCCUUAAACAACACGCAUUCUUAUCGUCUUUACGUCUGUCCUCCUCCUCGCUAAUGAUGGACUUGUCACAGAGUCUCAUGCCUCACGUCAGACGUUGACUAGAUCGAGCCACAUUCACACGGUCUCCCUUGACACAAAGGUAAACACAUUUAUGAAUUGUGUUCGUCAGUUGUGUCUUAGGCAUGCCCUAUUUUUAAACUGCAAGCACACCUACACACAUUCUCCCAUAGCGGGGCACACCCACCGCGGCCCAUGUCAUGCUAUCAGACUGUCCUCAUCACAGAAAACACCCUGCGCACUUGUAGGACGAGGAACUACAGUCAGGUGAGUUCAGUCCCCACACCUAACACCGGCCCUGUGUUUUCAACGGUGUUUCCUUCACCUUCCCCGUAGCUAACGCUGCAGCACCUACUGAUUAUUGCACCCUAUGUCUUAGUCUGAUAAUUGCACCGUACAAACCUGUCUGGGUUUAAAAGCCCACGUGCUGAGGACUCACAGCCCCUCUGCACCCUGACGGGUGAAAGAGUCAGUCCACAGAAAGACGCAUGUGUUCAGAGUUCCAGCGACGUGCCUCCGUUGUCUGUUGUUAAUGAAACAUUUCAACCACAAACUACCUGCAAGUGUAAUUUCAGAAGCACAAAGACACGCAGCAGAGGAUUCAGUCUCUCCUCGCUUUAAGCCGUGAUGGUUUUUUUGACUGUCAUUUGACAUAUGAAUCAUGACAAACUUCUGAACCUGUUGAUUUCUUAGUGACAUGUCAGUGAGUCACACUCCGCUGCCCAUGCGAUUCAGCCGUAGUUGUCCGUAUGUCACCUGUAGCCACAGUGUUGUCACAGUAGAUUCUUUUGGGUUUUGGUUUCCUGUUCCCUCCUACUGAAAUCAGUUUUUCCUCUGAACUUCAGAUCAGACACAGCUUAUCUCUGUAUCCAAUGAUUUGAUCUGCUGGCUACAUUUUUAAUCCCCCUGCUCAUUGUCCAGUUGACUGUUAACAACCAGUGCCUUUGUGGUUUACUAAACAUGUUUUUGACUGUGCGGCAGAAUUACACUUUUGACUUUCACUGUAAAUAUUGAAGGAUUGUGAUUUUUCCGACACAACGCUUUGAUGGUUCACUAUAGCGAAGGAGCGUCUGUUGUGGAAAAAUGUUUGAAAUGAGAUUAAACACAAAAGUAAGAAGAUGAAGGCAAAGCCGUCAAUCUGAUUUCGGAGUGUUUGUCUGCUCUGUUCACGGGAGAAACAAAGUGGAAUGAGGAGUGGCCACAGAUGUUUGUCACACAGGCUGCGUCGGAAAAUACUCAUGAAGCACUCGUCUGUACUCAUCCAGCUGCAUUACAUUUGUCUGUUAAAGUCACAGCCACAGACACAAUGCACCUGAACUGGUGUCUGUAACUCAUUAGUUCUCAUAUACAUUUAAUUUUUUUUUGUGCUAUACGUUAAU
Molecule: long non-coding RNA, 2432 nt
Organism: Cynoglossus semilaevis (tongue sole)
Lineage: Eukaryota; Metazoa; Chordata; Actinopteri; Pleuronectiformes; Cynoglossidae
Exons: 6
Source: RefSeq, a predicted model, not a curated record